AGGAGUUUUCAAGAUCAAAGGCAGUGACCAUUCUCCAUUCUUCUCAAAGCCACAGUCACUGCAUAAGAUUUUGGUUGAAAUUGCGCAGAUUCCAUGAUGUUAAUUUCUCUGGGGAAGUUUUUUUCAUAGCAAGAGUGGCUUCAUUGAUUCUUAUGGAGGCUGUAGAAUCCAUGAGGUUGUUGGUUGUACAGAAGAGGAGAAUGACUCAGCUUGUUUUAAAUCCAUUUUCAUAUUUU
Molecule: unclassified non-coding RNA, 236 nt
Filed under: Hevea brasiliensis (rubber tree)
Lineage: Eukaryota; Viridiplantae; Streptophyta; Magnoliopsida; Malpighiales; Euphorbiaceae
Source: RNAcentral